UCCUUAAGGAGUAGCAUUUGAUGACAUUUCCCACAUUUAUUUGCAUGGGUCAGUUUUGCUUGUCCCUCACCAAGUAACGUCCUGAUAACGUCAUACAUAAAACUGUAUUUUGCACCCUUAAGGAGUAGCAUUUGAUGACAUUUCCCACAUUUAUUUGCAUGGGUCAGUUUUGCUUGUCCCUCACCAAGUAACGUCCUGAUAACGUCAUACAUAAAACUGUGUUUUGC
Long non-coding RNA from Saccostrea cuccullata (small rock oyster), 227 nucleotides. RefSeq lists it as uncharacterized. NCBI's taxonomy places the organism in Eukaryota, Metazoa, Mollusca, Bivalvia, Ostreida, Ostreidae. The transcript has 3 exons. The record is from RefSeq and is a predicted model, not a curated record.